This 54-nucleotide transfer RNA is filed under the name Tullbergia bisetosa. RNAcentral's name for it is "tRNA-Arg". The record is from RNAcentral. Lineage: Eukaryota; Metazoa; Arthropoda; Collembola; Poduromorpha; Tullbergiidae.
AUAAGAAGCGAAUCGCACUCAGUUUCGACCUGAACUAUGGGGCAACCCCUUGUA